GGGGGAAAGUGCUCCCCCCCGGGGGACGCUUGGGGUAGCCGACCUGGGGGGGGUGUUUGGCCCACCACGGGGAAUGAAACCCCGGCCCCAGAUUUCUUGGGGGAGGCCACCAUUAGGAAUUCUUCCGCAAUGGACGAAAGUCUGACGGAGCAACGCCGCGUGAGUGAUGAAGGUUUUCGGAUCGUAAAAGCUCUGUUGUUAGGGAAGAACAAGUGCGAGAGUAACUGCUCGCACCUUGACGGUACCUAACCAGAAAGCCACGGCUAACUACGUGCCAGCAGCCGCGGUAAUACGUAGGUGGCAAGCGUUGUCCGGAAUUAUUGGGCGUAAAGGGCUCGCAGGCGGUUUCUUAAGUCCUGAUGUGAAAGCCCCCGGCUCAACCGGGGAGGGUCAUUGGAAACUGGGAAACUUGAGUGCAGAAGAGGAGAGUGGAAUUCCACGUGUAGCGGUGAAAUGCGUAGAGAUGUGGAGGAACACCAGUGGCGAAGGCGACUCUCUGGUCUGUAACUGACGCUGAGGAGCGAAAGCGUGGGGAGCGAACAGGAUUAGAUACCCUGGUAGUCCACGCCGUAAACGAUGAGUGCUAAGUGUUAGGGGGUUUCCGCCCCCUUAGUGCUGCAGCUAACGCAUUAAGCACUCCGCCUGGGGAGUACGGUCGCAAGACUGAAACUCAAAGGAAUUGACGGGGGCCCGCACAAGCGGUGGAGCAUGUGGUUUAAUUCGAAGCAACGCGAAGAACCUUACCAGGUCUUGACAUCCUCUGACAACCCUAGAGAUAGGGCUUUCCCUUCGGGGACAGAGUGACAGGUGGUGCAUGGUUGUCGUCAGCUCGUGUCGUGAGAUGUUGGGUUAAGUCCCGCAACGAGCGCAACCCUUGAUCUUAGUUGCCAGCAUUCAGUUGGGCACUCUAAGGUGACUGCCGGUGACAAACCGGAGGAAGGUGGGGAUGACGUCAAAUCAUCAUGCCCCUUAUGACCUGGGCUACACACGUGCUACAAUGGACAGAACAAAGGGCUGCAAGACCGCAAGGUUUAGCCAAUCCCAUAAAUCUGUUCUCAGUUCGGAUCGCAGUCUGCAACUCGACUGCGUGAAGCUGGAAUCGCUAGUAAUCGCGGAUCAGCAUGCCGCGGUGAAUACGUUCCCGGGCCUUGUACACACCGCCCGUCACACCACGAGAGUUUGCAACACCCGAAGUCGGUGAGGUAACCUUUAUGGAGCCAGCCGCCGAAGGUGGUCAGAUAUUGU
This 1245-nucleotide ribosomal RNA is filed under the name Bacillus safensis. RNAcentral describes it as "bacterial SSU rRNA". It matches the Rfam family "Bacterial small subunit ribosomal RNA", at positions 253 to 1478 of the family's 1533-position model. Lineage: Bacteria; Bacillati; Bacillota; Bacilli; Caryophanales; Bacillaceae. The record is from RNAcentral.